UACGGAGGAUCCAAGCGUUAUCCGGAGUUAUUGGGUUGAAAGGGUGCGUAGGCGGAAUUGUAAGUCAGUGGUGAAAGCCCGUCGCUUAACGACGGAACUGCCAUUGAUACUGCAAAUCUUGAGUACAUUUGAUGAGGGCGGAAUGUGUCAUGUAGCGGUGAAAUGCUUAGAUAUGACACAGAACACCGAUUGCGAAGGCAGCUCUCAAAACUGUAACUGACGCUGAGGCACGAAAGCGUGGGUAUCAAACAGG
This 253-nucleotide ribosomal RNA is filed under the name uncultured bacterium. RNAcentral describes it as "partial 16S ribosomal RNA". It matches the Rfam family "Bacterial small subunit ribosomal RNA", at positions 524 to 776 of the family's 1533-position model. The record is from RNAcentral.